Non-coding RNA from Pangasianodon gigas (Mekong giant catfish), 76 nucleotides. The record is from the annotation of a GenBank genome assembly. NCBI's taxonomy places the organism in Eukaryota, Metazoa, Chordata, Actinopteri, Siluriformes, Pangasiidae.
GGCAAAGUGGUAGCUCAGUGGCUAAAACAUGUGACUUUUGAUCGGAAGGUUGAGAGUUCAAAUCCCUGCACUGCCA